RNAcentral lists this ribosomal RNA (377 nucleotides) under uncultured organism. RNAcentral describes it as "partial 16S ribosomal RNA". It matches the Rfam family "Bacterial small subunit ribosomal RNA", at positions 527 to 896 of the family's 1533-position model. The record is from RNAcentral.
GUAGGGUCCGAGCGUUAUCCGGAAUCAUUGGGCGUAAAGAGCUCGUAGGCGGUUCAGCAAGUCGGCUGUGAAAGUUCGAGGCUCAACCUCGAAACUGCAGUCGAUACUGCUGUGACUUGAAUUCGGUAGAGGAGAAUGGAAUUCCCGGUGUAGCGGUGAAAUGCGCAGAUAUCGGGAGGAACACCAGUAGCGAAGGCGGUUCUCUGGGCCGAUAUUGACGCUGAGGAGCGAAAGCGUGGGGGGAGCAAGCAGGAUUAGAUACCCUGGUAGUCCACGCCCGUAAACGUUGGAUGCUAGGUGUGGCGGUCUACCAACGACUGCCGUGCCGAAGCUAACGCAUUAAGCAUCCCCGCCUGGGGAGUACGGCCGCAAGGCUA